CUUCUCCCACCUCCCGUCAGGCAGAGGAGUCCUGAUGAAGGGUCUCAGCCCGAAAUGACGACAGUUUUCCCUCCUCCAUAGAGGCUGUCUGACCUGCUGAGUUCCUCCAGUAUUUUGUAUUUGUCGCUUUGGAUUUCCAGCAUCAGCAGGUUUUUUUCGUGUAGAGGAUACAAUCGCGUAGCUGCAGGAUCAAGUGCCUGUUUCUGUGUGACUUAAUCACUGGGUCAUGGGUCUCAGUCUCAGGGGAAGGCAACAGUCUCAUCAGUUUCUCUAACAGAGCCAGGUGCACAAAAUGCAGGUGUAUUCAUACUGUACUUCAGUGCAAUACUGAGGGACACAAUAUCAAACUCGGCCCCUUUCCUGUUUAUCUCAGUGGUGUCCCAGGGAACAAAUCCAGGAGAUUCCAGGCAAAUCCUAUGGGAUCGAAGGUCUACAGACUCUCUAGCCUUGGCAAUUCCUUGGAUGGAUGAGAAAUGUUAGGCAAGAUGCUGGGUAUCUUGCCGAUGCUGGAAAUCCAAAGCAACCAACACAAAAUGCUGGAGGAACUCAGCAGAUCAGGCAGCAUCUACAGAAAUGAAAAAACAGUUAACGUUUUGUGUUGAGACUCUUCUUCAACAUACCGACUCUUCAUCCUCUACUCUUCAGUCUAUUGCUGAGGUACCUUUGAACACCAGGCAGGGUAUAGUGGGCUUCCAUUCAACCACUCAUUUGAAUGAUGGCAUCUCCAACAUGCCGCAGUCCCAUCAAAAGCACACUGAUUAAGAUUAAAGAUUAUCUUUACAUGUACAUUGAGGCAUUCAAGCCUGCAGUGAAAUGCGUCAUUUUUGCAUCAAUGACUGACACAGUGUGUGGAUUGUUCUGGGGGCUACCCACAAGCGUCACCACGUUUCCGGUUCCAACAUAGAAUGCCCACAGCUCACCAAUCCUAAUCCUAACCCUAACCGCAUGCCUGUGGAAUAUGGAAGAGAACCGGACUUCCUGGACGAAACUCAUGCAUGUAUGGGCAGAACAUACACACUCCUUGCAGAGAGUGAUGAGAAUUGAACACUGAUUGAUGAUCACUGGCACUGUAAAGUGAUGCACUAAAGGUUAAAGAUGAUCUUUGCAAGUACAUUGAAGCAUCAACACAUACAGUAAAAAGUAUCAUGUUCACAUGAUAGAGCCACCAGUCGAAAUAUGAUGUUUAACUCUUUGGAACAGGACUUAACCCUACCCUCUUUCGCUGAUGAUUGUAUCACCACUGAGUACAUCUUACCGAAGAAAGGCUUGCAUGUUUUCCUCGGCCACUUUGUUUUCUGGGAUUGUCUAAGUCUUUAAAACCAGUGUUCCUGGCUUAUCUCCAUCUAGGUCAUCAAGCAAAGAUUGCCUUUUUGGAAUCUACGAGCGAAACCAUAAUAGUUUGCAUUGAGACUGAUU
This is a long non-coding RNA of Mobula hypostoma (lesser devil ray), 1416 nucleotides long. RefSeq lists it as uncharacterized. The transcript has 4 exons. The record is from RefSeq and is a predicted model, not a curated record. NCBI's taxonomy places the organism in Eukaryota, Metazoa, Chordata, Chondrichthyes, Myliobatiformes, Myliobatidae.